Molecule: ribosomal RNA, 245 nt
Filed under: uncultured Bacteroidales bacterium
Lineage: Bacteria; Pseudomonadati; Bacteroidota; Bacteroidia; Bacteroidales
Description: partial 16S ribosomal RNA
Rfam family: Bacterial small subunit ribosomal RNA
Source: RNAcentral
UACGGAAGGUCCGGGCGUUAUCCGGAUUUAUUGGGUUUAAAGGGAGCGCAGGCGGACUGUCAAGCGUGCCGUGAAAGCGCGGGGCUCAACCCCGUACAGCGGCGCGAACUGGCGGUCUUGGUUGCGGGAAGGGGAGGCGGAACUCGUGGUGUAGCGGUGAAAUGCAUAGAUAUCACGAAGAACUCCGAUCGCGAAGGCAGCCUCCCGGCCCGUCAACGACGCUCAUGCUCGAAGGCGCGGGUAUC